This 468-nucleotide ribosomal RNA is filed under the name uncultured bacterium. RNAcentral describes it as "partial 16S ribosomal RNA". It matches the Rfam family "Bacterial small subunit ribosomal RNA", at positions 28 to 507 of the family's 1533-position model. The record is from RNAcentral.
GACGAACGCUGGCGGCGUGCUUAACACAUGCAAGUCGAACGGAAAGGCCCUGCUUUUGUGGGGUGCUCGAGUGGCGAACGGGUGAGUAACACGUGAGUAACCUGCCCUUGACUUUGGGAUAACUUCAGGAAACUGGGGCUAAUACCGGAGAGGAGCUCCUGCUGCAUGGUGGGGGUUGGAAAGUUUCGGCGGUAGGGGAUGGACUCGCGGCUUAUCAGCUUGUUGGGGGGGUAGUGGCUUACCAAGGCUAUGACGGGUAGCCGGCAUGAGAGGUGGACCGGCCACAUGGGGCCUGAGAGAGGGCCCAGAAGCCUACGGGAGGCAGCAGGGGGGAGUAUGGCGGAAUGGGCGGAAGCGUGAUACGGCAACGUCGGGUGCGGGAUGCCCUCUUUCGGGUGGUGAACCGCUUUGGACUGUGACGAAGAGUGAGUGACGGUAAUGGGUAAAGAAGCACCGGCUAACUACGUG